CGCCCUCAAAAAAAAUAAAAAAAUCCGUUGAGCCCACUUCCUCCCCCCACUCCCCCAGCCCCCAAGAGUACCAGUUCAGGAAACGGCGGCCACAACCCCCGGCGGCGUGCGUGGUACGACUGUGACGUCAAGGGCCGUGGAUAGCGUCGUCCCAUAGACGGCGCAGUGUACUGCCGUGGCGGUGCAGAGUGGCAGGGACGUGCAAUCUCCGGCUUGGGAAGCGAACUUGUGGUGCCUCACACGGAGGAGGUACCCAUGCAAGCCACCUGUUCGACAGAGUGCCAGAGCGAAGGAAUACCGCCAGCCUAACAGGAGAGUCAACGGCCAGCGGCAAGCUAUGCAUGUGCAGCCGCCGCUUUCGGCCGGGCCGGGCAACGCCCUGCCGUGCCCGCCCGUGAACAUACACAGCACGGCAUGGCACGGCUCCAAAAGCUAGGCGCUUAUUAUACGGGACAAAGGGCUGGCGAAAAUUCUACUCGUGCUCUGCAUUUUGGUCUAUUUUAUCAGGCUCUCGAGUCGACGGCUGAUAAAAUCUGUGGAUCACGCUCUGCACUGCGUUGUUGGUGAGAGCUGGAUUUGGGCCAUCGGUUUAAUGCUAUCAGACUUAGUGUCUACCCUAAGAAAAUAGAAAAAAUUCCUUAUUUGACACCGUAAUUAAACUUUAUGCCCUAUUUGUCAUCGACAAA
Long non-coding RNA from Triticum aestivum (bread wheat), 686 nucleotides. RefSeq lists it as uncharacterized. The record is from RefSeq and is a predicted model, not a curated record. The transcript is spliced from 2 exons. NCBI's taxonomy places the organism in Eukaryota, Viridiplantae, Streptophyta, Magnoliopsida, Poales, Poaceae.